GGAGUAGUAUUGAUGGGUAUUUAAGCCCAAAAAAUUCGGACACCCCUAGAUACCCUAAUCACUUCACACGAUCGCACCACUCUGUUCUCUUCUCCCUCUCUCCCUCUAUUCUGUUGGACUCUGGCGAGGAAGACUCGAUGUCGACGGCCAUGGUGGCACCGCCGUGGGGCUCAUGCUAGCUAAUGAAGUAGCAGGAUGUGACCGCCCACCCCGCUGUCCGAGAAGAAGCGUAGCUGCGCGUCGCUGUCCAUGUCAACAGGCAACAAAUUGAUGAAUGGAACAGGGGGCAACACACUACCAUGCCUAAGCUUGUAUAGCUGUCCAAUAGCUGCUUAUGGUAUUUUAACUAGCUAGCUAGCUAGUAUUUUGUCUCGAAUACUAUUCUCACAGGAUACAUACAUUAGUUUUUAAUUC
Molecule: long non-coding RNA, 414 nt
Organism: Zea mays
Lineage: Eukaryota; Viridiplantae; Streptophyta; Magnoliopsida; Poales; Poaceae
Exons: 2
Source: RefSeq, a predicted model, not a curated record